UACCAGUUCUCUGUCUGUAUUUAACUGUUUCAUCUAAAAAGAAGGAGAAAAAAUGUUUAUUUUGGGGAACCAAAACAAUGAUAUGAAAUCAAAGGGGGCUGAUGAAGGAAAAGAUGCUCUUAGUAAGUAGAGUGCUUUGAUAUUUUGUCAUUACUGUUAAAAAAAAUACAUUAUCCUUCUGUUUUGCUGCAAAAUGAGGGAAAAGGACCACAUUAUUCAAAAAUGCUUUUCAGAUAUGGAGUUCAGUUCAGCACAGUUCUGAAGUGCACAGUGACUGCAAUUUCAAAUGUUCACAGUUACAUUACAAAAACUUAAAAAAAAUUACAAAAGUGUAAUUUCUAUAUAGGUACAAGCAAAUCUUUUAGAAACAAUAUAUGAUUUUUUUAUAUAAAAGUCUGAGAAGUCCAAAUGAAACUCAAAGAUGUUCCCAUUUACUUUAAAUUGGUACUUGGCAUCUCCUUUGGGAUUAAUGAAUGUUAUUAUAUCUUCAUAUAAUGCUGAAUGACUAUUUGCUGAAAAAUUGAGGUUCUUUUAAGGUCCCUUAGGUUGGGCACUAAAUUAAUUGGGUUAUUUGAACUCUAUUAGUCAUCUGAAACAACUUGGCCUCUAUUUCCUGCUCUUAGCAACUUAUUAAUGUGGAGAGGAGAGGAAAAGAGCAAAGGAGAAAAUGUCAGCACACUUAUUUGCGGGUAAUGCUUCCAUCUGGAGAGCAGUGACCACCACAAUUCUUGCAAAGAGGCCGAAUUGUACAAGCCUUCUGGAGAGCUGCUUUCCUAGAACUGAAGUGAAAAUGCUAUUGCAGUUAAAGGUAGAAAAGACCACAUUCUGUAGUGUCCUAUGUUGACCCCUUUGAAAUUUUCCAUUGCUGGCAGUGAGAGACCAAGUGAGGAAUGAGGACACCCAACUGCCACUUGUCCUUCACACAGCUCAUAUUUCCCUUCAUCCUAUCACAAUGAUGUAAUUGAAGUCUGCAGCCUGUGUCUAUUAAGCUGUAAACAAAUGCAUCUGUCAGUCAGUGAGAAAUUUUAGAAAGAGGAAAACCAUGCAGUUCAUCAUAUGUAACCACUAGGAGAAACUUAAGCACUGAAACUGCUCACACUGAUCAUGUUCUCAGGCAUGAGCAAUUAGAAGUAGGACCAGCAAAACCAGGGUAUGUAUUUGUAAUUUCAGCUGCUGGGCUGGUUUCAGAAUUCUCCAAAGAGGGAUGUAAAUAGUCAUGUGACCAGCUGUUUAAGCCUAAAUCCGUAAUAAAACUAAUGAGUUAUUUCAAAAUAUAUGUGAGCAGGCAAUUAGUUACUAGAGGUGUUAAAAAAAAAAAAAAAAAAAUCUAUAUUUGUUGUGCAAGGGAAGCUGGAGGUCGUUGUAUCCAGAAUUUUGUGUUUGUAGAAUAGAUCCCAGUGGAUGCAGGUGCAUUGCACACCAAACUUGUGCGGGCAGUAGAAGAGCACAGAAGCUUUGGAACAGCUCUUCUGGGUGGAUGCUCAGCUCCAGAACAAGUGAUGUGAUGGCCAGGUCUGCCUUGGAUGGUCUCAGCACUAUAGAUCAAAGCCUCCACAGGAACAGUGCCUUGCAGUAAUACCUAGUGGCAGAUAAGCAUGUGAGCAAUGGGCCUGUGUAAACUACAUGGUGUAGUUUGAGCACAACAGCACCUGCCAGAGGAUGGGUUCUUCGUCUAGAAAGGCUCAUGCACUCAAUGUAAGAAGUGUGACGUUAUGUGAUACUAGACUGACCAUAGAUUUUACUAAUUUCAAGCUUAUUUGGUGAAAUUGUCUGUUUUGUUUUGUUUUGUUUUGUUUUUUCCCCAGAUUGUUGCUCAUAUCUCUACAGUUGAUGGCAGUUUCAUUUCUGUCAUUUUGCCUUUAUUCCAGUGUGCCAUAAUCCUUGCUUAACAUCUCCAUAGAAAACUAUAUUAGCAAGCAAAAUAUCUGCACGCUACAACCUGUUUCAGAGCUUAAGGUUAUGAGAUGGGUAUUUUCCUUAUGAUCUUCUAGGUAUCUGCAUUGCUAUUCCACAUUGGAAGAACAAUCUCAUCAGUAAGAACUGUGAGAUUUCCCUGUUUUCACAGUUAUGUGAAUGCCACCCUUCCUCAAGUAAUAAUCACUUGCUAACCUUGCAUUUGUUGCUCUUUCAGAUUUCGCAGCCAGAAGUGACACUGCUGACAGCUUGAUAAACUGUUUGCCACUUAUGAUGGCUUUGCCUCUUCCAGGAACAUUCUUUCCCGUGUAUACUCACUUUGAAGAACCACCCUGGUUUUAAUCUGAAGCUUCUGCACAAAUUAGGCAGCCUUUGCUCUGCAAAAUUACUGGGAGGAAAAGAGUGAAAUUGUGGCUUAAGAAAACAUUGCCUAUAAUAAAAGAUCAAGUUCAUGUGGAAGAAGAGUUCUGUGGCACUAAUAAUGUGGGUGCCUCUUGAUGUGGGUCCUAGUUUCACAUGGGUCUUGGCAGUAAGAUGAUACAGAAGAAGAUACAGUUUUCAGGUUAUAUCUUGCAUUUCAUUUCAUGGUCUGCUUCGAUUAUUUUGUUUGCUUUUUAGGUAAUUUGGUGACAAAUUUACCGACAGGUGGUGCUGCUGCUCCAAAUCCUCUCUGUUCAGUCUUGAUUUGAAAAAGGAAUGUUGGCGCUUGCAUUUCAACAUUCCAGAGGUUUCUCAGGCUCUAGAGAAAAACACUAUGAAAUAUUACUCAAGCUGAUUAUUGCCUCGUCCUUUCGUCUGUGGGGAACCUUAAAGCAGUGGUUUCCCUCUUGGGGCCUCUGAAUCUCUGGAGGUCUUCCUUUCACUUCCUUUGGAUCCUUGGUCUUGGAGAAGGUCCUGUUAAACACAAAUUGGUUUAGCUCUACUACAUAGUGUGAAUAACUCUCUUCAUUCCUUGAUAUUGCUUCCUUCAGGGUAUUUAAACUGUGUUAUCAUCUCCCUUCAGGCUCCUUUUAUC
Molecule: long non-coding RNA, 2929 nt
Organism: Corvus hawaiiensis (hawaiian crow)
Lineage: Eukaryota; Metazoa; Chordata; Aves; Passeriformes; Corvidae
Exons: 3
Source: RefSeq, a predicted model, not a curated record